AAGUCGUAACAAGGUUUCCGUAGGUGAACCUGCGGAAGGAUCAUUAACACGUAUCCACGUAUAUACAUCUCUGCGAACUUAUUUUUGUUUUUAUAAGUUGGUUAGCUAGCGUAGCAAUGGAGGUAGAUGUUUACUAUGUCACAAAAAGCCAAUGGGGAGGGUUGAUCGUCACAUCUUCUUUCCCUGCGGUUUUUUUUGUGUUCUACCUGCCUAUCCAAAAAUGAAGUGGCGGUUGAUCCGGCACUUGCGUUUUUGGGUAUUCUGGCUCAUAUGACUUGAAUCAUAGUAGUUUAUCUAUUCACCUUUUUAUUAAUAUGUAAGAAUUUGUGAUGGCUGCAGAUUGUGAGGUUUAACGACUUCACUCUCGCGGCUCACGUUAAAAAAACACUAUACAACUCUUAGCAACGGAUAUCUCGGUUCU
This 421-nucleotide unclassified non-coding RNA is filed under the name fungal sp. RNAcentral's name for it is "partial internal transcribed spacer region". The stretch from base 1 to 46 matches the Rfam family "Eukaryotic small subunit ribosomal RNA", at positions 1786 to 1831 of the family's 1831-position model. Lineage: Eukaryota; Fungi. The record is from RNAcentral.